GACGAACGGUGGCGGCGUGCUUAACACAUGCAAGUCGAACGGAAAGGCCUGUCCUUCCUUGUGUUGGACGGGUACUCGAGUGGCGAACGGGUGAGUAACACGUGAGUGAUCUGCCCCCAACUUGGGUAUAAGCCUGGGAAACUGGGUCUAAUUCCCGAUAGGACUGCAGGGUGGUGCCUGUGGUGGAAAACGAUUUUCUAGUGGUUGGGGAUGAGCUCGCGGCCUAUCAGCUUGUUGGUGGGGUAAUGGCCUACCAAGGCGGCGACGGGUAGCCGGCCUGGGAGUGUGGACGGCCACAUUGGGACUGAGAUACGGCCCAGACUCCUACGGGAGGCAGCAGUGGGGAAUAUUGCACAAUGGGCGGAAGCCUGAUGCAGCGACGCCGCGUGGGGGAUGACGGCCUUCGGGUUGUAAACUCCUUUCGACCGCGAGGAAGCCGCCUGGUUGGAAGGGUGGUGACGGUAGUGGUAGAAGAAGCACUGGCUAACUACGUG
This 494-nucleotide ribosomal RNA is filed under the name uncultured bacterium. RNAcentral's name for it is "partial 16S ribosomal RNA". It matches the Rfam family "Bacterial small subunit ribosomal RNA", at positions 28 to 507 of the family's 1533-position model. The record is from RNAcentral.